This 477-nucleotide ribosomal RNA is filed under the name uncultured anaerobic ammonium-oxidizing bacterium. RNAcentral's name for it is "bacterial SSU rRNA". It matches the Rfam family "Bacterial small subunit ribosomal RNA", at positions 365 to 832 of the family's 1533-position model. The record is from RNAcentral.
UUCGCAAUGCCCGAAAGGGUGACGAAGCGACGCCGCGUGCGGGAAGAAGGCCUUCGGGUUGUAAACCGCUGUCGGGAGUUAAGAAAUGCAAGGAUGUUAAUAGCGUUCUUGCUUGACUAAGGCUCCGGAGGAAGCCACGGCUAACUCUGUGCCAGCAGCCGCGGUAAUACAGAGGCGGCAAGCGUUGUUCGGAAUUAUUGGGCGUAAAGAGCACGUAGGCGGCUAUGUAAGUCGGUUGUGAAAGCCUUCCGCUCAACGGAAGAACAGCAUCCGAUACUGCAUGGCUCGAGUGCGGGAGGGGAGAGUGGAACUUCUGGUGGAGCGGUGAAAUGCGUAGAUAUCAGAAGGAACGCCGGCGGCGAAAGCGACUCUCUGGCCCGUAACUGACGCUGAGUGUGCGAAAGCUAGGGGAGCAAACGGGAUUAGAUACCCCGGUAGUCCUAGCCGUAAACGAUGGGCACUAAGUAGAGGGGUUUU